AUGAAACUCUCAAAGCAGUUUGUCAUUCUUAGUAUUCUCUGAAGCUGGACAUGUGAAUGCUUAAGACGAUGGCCCCAGGAGCAGCCUCUCCAAUGAUUUUAAAAGUCACUGAUGAAAUCAAUGUGUCAUUGAAAGGGGAUGGGACCCUGGAUGCUUUAAACAUAAUCACAUGGAAAAGCAAGCUACCAAAUUUUAUUCUCUGUAAAUGUAUUUUUUUACACAUAGUUCUAAUCUUCAAAAGUAUUACCAAGGCUCUAACUUCCAUUAUUAUGAUAUUAUACUUAAUCCAGAAUACUAAAUAAGUGAGCAUAGCUUGGUAGUUUUUGUGCUUCAGAAAUCCUUUUAAAUGCUCACUGAUAUGUAACCUGUCAAUCAGAAAAAUAGAUUAAGAAGAUGCUCAGAUUCUAUUCUGUAUAAACCUCUGUAAAGAAAGCCUUGGGUUAUUGACAAAUGAAAUACACUCUUUGAGUCUCU
RNAcentral lists this long non-coding RNA (474 nucleotides) under Ictidomys tridecemlineatus (thirteen-lined ground squirrel). RNAcentral describes it as "lncRNA (ENSSTOG00000033180.1)". Lineage: Eukaryota; Metazoa; Chordata; Mammalia; Rodentia; Sciuridae. The record is from RNAcentral.